GGAGACAGUGUUAAGGAGGAGACACCAUAAGCCCUGUCCUCCUGUCCUUUCUUACCACACCAUGUGGAAGAGCAGACGGGCUCAGCUGUGUCUUUUUUCAGUUCUUCUUGCCUUCCUGCCUUCUGCUUCUUCACUCAAUGGAGACUCGAAGUAUAUGGUGCUGGUCCCUUCUCAGCUCUACACUGAGACCCCUGAGAAAAUCUGCCUCCAUUUAUACCAUCUGAAUGAGACAGUGACCGUUACAGCUUCCUUGGUAUCUCAAACGGGAAGGAGAAACCUGUUCGAUGAGCUUGUGGUUGACAAGGACUUGUUCCAAUGUGUUUCCUUCAUUAUCCCUACACUCAACUCUCCUGAUGAGGAGGAGUUUCUCUACGUGGACAUCAAAGGGCCAACCCACGAAUUCAGCAAAAGGAAUGCAGUGCUUGUGAAGAACAAAGAAAGUGUUGUCUUUGUCCAGACAGAUAAGCCCGUGUACAAGCCAGGACAAUCAGUUAAAUUUCGGGUUGUCUCUAUGGAUAAAACUCUACGCCCCCUGAAUGAGUUGCUUCCUCUGGCUUACAUUGAGGAUCCGAAAAAGAACCGAAUUAUGCAGUGGAGGGAUAUUAAGACUGAGAAUGGGCUUAAGCAAAUGUCCUUCAGCCUGGCAGCAGAGCCCAUUCAGGGCCCCUACAAGAUAGUGGUGCACAAACAGUCAGGGGUGAAGGAAGAACACUCCUUUACUGUGAUGGAAUUUGUGCUUCCCAGAUUUAAUGUCGACCUGAAGGUCCCAAAUGCCAUCUCUGUGAAUGAUGAAGUGCUCCAAGUGACUGUAUGUGGGAACUAGACAACAAUGGCUGCAGCACACAAGAAGUGAAAAUCACUGAACUCCAAUCAAAGAGAAGAAAUCACAGGGUUCAACUUUUCCAUGUGAAUGCAACUGUUACAGAAGAAGGGACAGGAUUGGAGUUCGGGGGAUAUGGAACAACUAAAAUUGAAAGAAUCACAAACAAGCUCAUAUUUCUGAAGGCAGAUUCACACUUCAGACAUGGGAUUCCAUUCUUUGUGAAAUGGAUAUCAAGGGAGACCCUAUCCCAAAUGAGAAAGUCUUCAUCAAAGCUCAAGAACUUGGCUAUACCAGUGCUACUACCACUGAUCAGCAUGGCCUGGCAAAGUUCUCCAUAGAUACCGCUGACAUCUCGGUCCCUUUCCUCCAUAUCAAAGUCAACCACAAAGAGGAAGAUUCAUGUUCCUAUUUCUAUUGCAUGGAGGAAAGACAUGCAAGUGCAGAGCAUGUGGCCUAUGCUGUUUCUUCCCUCAGCAAAAGUUACAUAUACCUUGACACAGAGACCAGCAGCAUCUUGCCCUGCAACCAGAUUCACACAGUUCAAGCACAUUUUAUUCUGAAAAGGGACUUGGGAGUGCUGAAAGAGCUCGUUUUCUACUACCUGGUCAUGGCCCAGGGCAGCAUCAUCCAGACUGGAAACCACACUCACCAGGUGGAGCCAGGAGAAGCUCCAGUAAAAGGCAACUUUGCCUUGGAGAUCCCUGUGGAGUUCAGCAUGGUCCCAAUGGCUAAAAUGCUCAUCUACACGAUCUUGCCUGAUGGAGAAGUGAUUGCAGAUUCUGUAAACUUUGAAGUUGAAAAGUGUCUUCGCAACAAAGUGGACCUGAGCUUCAGCUCAUCUCAAAGUCUUCCCUCCUCACAAACCCGUCUGCAGGUCACAGCUUCUCCUCAGUCCCUCUGUGGCCUGAGAGCUGUGGACCAGAGUGUGCUGCUCCUGAAGCCCGAGGCUGAGCUCUCCCCUUCCUGGAUAUACAAUCUGCCAGGUAUGCAGCACAACAAAUUCAUUCCAAGUUCCCGUCUGUCUGAAGACCGAGAAGACUGUAUACUGUACAGGUUAUGGAUGUCUGAGAACAGAUACUCAAUACGACAGGGAAGAGAAAAGGACGUCUACAGUUAUGUGGAGGACAUGGGUUUAACAGCAUUCACCAACUUGAAGAUCAAACAUCCUACAUCUUGUUUUUAUUAUGGAAAUUGGAAUAUCUUCACACGUUUCUAUAAGCAAGAGGACCUGAGGCACUGUGUCUACUCUAGACAAUGGAAUAAUUGGGGAACUAUCCCUGUAGCUGUUAAAGUAACGGGUGAAGAACUUAAAACACUAGAAAAUACUUAGUUCUUGAAGGCAAAUAUAAAGACCACAAUCAGCACCUCCUGUGGAAUUUGAUCAUGAAUUUAGGGAUGGACUUUCUGGGAGAUUGCAAAUGGGAUCAAGUGAAAGACCUCCUCCUGAAGAGCCACAACGUAAAGACCCACCAACUAAAGAUCCACUUACGGAGACCAUUCGGAAAUAUUUUCCUGAAACCUGGGUCUGGGAUAUAGUCACAGUAAACUCCACAGGAGUGGCUGAAGUGGAAAUGACUGUCCCUGACACCAUCACUGAAUGGAAAGCUGGAGCCCUCUGCCUGUCCAAUGACACUGGCCUUGGCCUCUCUUCUGUGGUACCUCUCCAAGCCUUCCAGCCCUUCUUUGUGGAAGUCUCAUUGCCCUACUCUGUGGUCCGUGGAGAAGCCUUCAUGCUCAAAGCCACUGUGAUGAACUACCUCCCUACAAGCAUGCGGAUGAGUGUGCAGCUGGAAGCCUCUCCUGAUUUCACAGCUGUACCAGUGGGAGACGACCAAGAUUCUUACUGCCUCAGUGCCAAUGGGAGGCACACCUCAUCCUGGCUGGUAACUCCCAAGUCUUUAGGGAAUGUGAAUUUCUCUGUGUCUGCGGAAGCACAAAAGUCCUCAGAGCCCUGUGGUUCUGAGGUGGCCACAGUUCCUGAAACUGGGAGAAAGGACACAGUAGUCAAAGUCCUGAUAGUUGAGGCCUGAAGGAAUCAAGCAAGAGCAUACCUUCAGCUCACUGUUCUGCGCAUCAGAUGCUGAGAUAUCUGAAAAAAUGUCCCUGGUCCUCCCACCAACAGUAGUGAAAGAUUCAGCAAGAGCACAUUUCUCUGUGAUGGGUGAUAUCUUGAGUUCAGCCAUAAAAAACACACAAAACCUUCUCCAUAUGCCCUAUGGCUGUGGGGAGCAGAACAUGGUCCUUUUUGCUCCCAACAUCUACGUAUUGAAAUAUCUGGAUAAAACCCAACAGCUGACUCAGAAGAUCAAGACUAAGGCCCUCGGCUUCCUCAGAGCUGGUUAUCAGAGAGAGCUGAACUACAAACACAAGAAUGGCUCCUACAGUGCCUUCGGGGAUCAAAAUGGCGAGAGAGAAGGAAACACUUGGCUCACAGCCUUUGUGCUCAAGUCUUUUGCCCAAGCUCGAGCCUUCAUCUUCAUCGAUGAAUCACACAUCACCCACGCCCUCACCUGGCUCUCCCAGCAGCAGAAGGACAAUGGCUGCUUCCGAAGCUCUGGAUCAUUGUUCAACAAUGCCAUGAAGGGUGGAGUAGAUGAUGAAAUGACCCUCUCUGCCUACAUAACCAUGGCCCUUCUGGAAAGUUCACUCCCAGCCAGGCAUCCUGUUGUCUCCAAAGCCCUGAGCUGCCUGGAGUCUUCCUGGAAGACCAUAGAACAAGGACAAAAUGCCAACUUUGUGUACACCAAGGCACUGAUGGCCUAUGCUUUUGCUCUGGCGGGGAACCAGGAUAAGAGAAAUGAAAUCCUGAAGUCACUUGAUGAGGAAGCUAUAAAAGAAGACAACUCCAUCCACUGGGAAAGGCCUCAGAAACCCAGAAAUUCAGAACAGCAUUUGUACAAACCCCAGGCUUCCUCUGCUGAAGUAGAAAUGAAUGCCUAUGUGGUCCUGGCUCGCCUCACUGCCCAGCCAGCCCCAUCCCCUGAGGAUCUGACUUUGUCAACGAGCACCAUCAUGUGGCUCACAAAGCAGCAGAAUUCCAAUGGUGGCUUCUCCUCCACACAGGACACUGUGCUGGCCCUUGAUGCUCUGUCCAAAUAUGGAGCAGUGACUUUUUCCAGAAGGCAGAAAACAACUUUGGUGACCAUCCAAUCUACAGGGUCAUUUUCCCAAAAGUUCCACAUAGAGAACAGUAAUCGCCUGUUACUACAGCAGGUCCCAUUACCAGACAUUCCUGGGGACUAUACCAUCAGUGUGUCAGGGGAAGGAUGUGUGUAUGCUCAGACUACACUGAGAUACAACAUGCACUUGGAGAAGCAGCAGUCUGCAUUUGCUCUACGGGUACAGACAGUACCUCUAACUUGUAAUAACCCCAAAGGCCACAACAGCUUCCAGAUCUCACUAGAAAUCAGUUACACAGGCAGCCGGCCAGCCUCCAACAUGGUGAUUGCUGAUGUGAAGAUGCUAUCUGGUUUCAUCCCAUUGAAACCAACAGUGAAAAAGCUUGAAAGAUUAGAGCACAUAAGCAGAACAGAAGUGAGCAACAACAAUGUCUUAUUAUAUUUGGAUCAGGUGACCAAUCAGACACUAGCCUUCUCCUUCAUCAUUCAACAAGACAUCCCAGUAAGGAACCUGCAGCCUGCCAUUGUGAAAGUCUAUGACUACUAUGAGACAGAUGAAGUGGCUUUUGCUGAAUACAGCAGUCCCUGCAGCUCAGACAAACAAAAUGUUUGAAACUCCUAUUUAUGGAGAAGGCACUGCUGAAAUCCCCAGACCCAGGAAUCUUCAAGAUAGUGAUUUGUGUUUGUCUCUGAAAUACAAAUACUGAACAAGCUUUAUAAAUAAAUGCCUAGUUCUCGAGA
This is an RNA transcript of Mus musculus (house mouse), 4683 nucleotides long. It is a transcript of the gene named murinoglobulin, pseudogene 1, with no coding region annotated. The transcript has 36 exons. Lineage: Eukaryota; Metazoa; Chordata; Mammalia; Rodentia; Muridae. The record is from RefSeq and is marked provisional.